Molecule: ribosomal RNA, 432 nt
Filed under: uncultured bacterium
Lineage: Bacteria
Description: partial 16S ribosomal RNA
Rfam family: Bacterial small subunit ribosomal RNA
Source: RNAcentral
AACGAACGCUGGCGGCAGGCUUAACACAUGCAAGUCGAACGGAUCCUUCGGGAUUAUUGGCAGACGGGUGAGUAACGCGUGGGAACGUACCCUUUGCUACGGAAUAACUCAGGGAAACUUGAGCUAAUACCGUAUGUGCCCUACGGGGGAAAGAUUUAUCGGCAAAGGAUCGGCCCGCGUUGGAUUAGCUAGUUGGUGGGGUAAUGGCCUACCAAGGCUACGAUCCAUAGCUGGUCUGAGAGGAUGAUCAGCCACACUGGGACUGAGACCCGGCCCAGACUCUUACGGGAGGCAGCAGUGGGGAAUAUUGGACAAUGGGCGCAAGCCUGAUCCAGCCAUGCCGCGUGAGUGAUGAAGGUCUUAGGAUUGUAAAGCUCUUUCACCGGUGAAGAUAAUGACGGUAGCCGGAGAAGAAGCCCCGGCUAACUUCGU